This 421-nucleotide ribosomal RNA is filed under the name uncultured bacterium. Its description in RNAcentral is "bacterial SSU rRNA". It matches the Rfam family "Bacterial small subunit ribosomal RNA", at positions 43 to 475 of the family's 1533-position model. The record is from RNAcentral.
CAGGCCUAACACAUGCAAGUCGAGCGGGUAGCAAUACCAGCGGCAAACGGGUGCGUAACGCGUAAGCAACCUGCCCACUACUGGGGGAUAGCCUUGCGAAAGCGGGGGUAAACCCGCAUGGUCCUUUUCUUUCACCUGGAAGGAUAGGUAAACAUUUAUGGGUAGUGGAGGGGCUUGCGUCUGAUUAGCUAGUUGGCGGGGUAAGGGCCCACCAAGGCGACGAUCAGUAGGGGUUCUGAGAGGAUUGGCCCCCACAUGGGUACUGAGACACGGACCCAACUCCUACGGGAGGCAGCAGUAGGGAAUAUUGGGCAAUGGAGGCAACUCUGACCCAGCCAUGCCGCGUGCAGGAUGAAGGCGCUCAGCGUUGUAAACUGCUUUUAACUGGGAAGAACGGCAUUUUUGCGAAGAUGUGUGACGG